GCUAGCAUAGUGUAGUGUUUUGUAUGUUAGACUAUGACCCUGAAGAUCAGGGUUCAAAUCCCUACUCAGCC
RNAcentral lists this transfer RNA (71 nucleotides) under Phrynosoma platyrhinos (Desert horned lizard). Its description in RNAcentral is "tRNA-OTHER". The record is from RNAcentral. Lineage: Eukaryota; Metazoa; Chordata; Lepidosauria; Squamata; Phrynosomatidae.